AGAAGCAGGGGGGAGCGUGGCCUAGGGUGAGGCUGUACACAUGCUGAGGUGUCAGUCACAUAGAAGGCAUGUGCAGGCCGAAUGUGCGCCAAUGUGUGAAUGUGGGUGUGGGGGGUGGAGGACUGGGGGGUAGCUGAGUGCGUGAACCCACNNNNNNNNNNNNNNNNNNNNCCCCCCCCCCCACGGCACAUUGAUCUUAUCUGAUCGUGCCAUGACGCAGCCCCGCCAGGCUGACCCAACAUGAAAAGCUCUCCUCCUGAAAAGUCCCUUCCUUGAGGUGCUGUGCAGUGAGGCCCUUUGGGUUUUGGCUGCCGCAGUCUAGGGAGUCCCAGGACUGGUCCUACAGGACUGGCGUGAUGAAUUGAUCAGAUAGAUGAGGCUGGACUUGUCCUGGGUCACUGAUUAUUGAGGCCCAGGA
This 418-nucleotide small nucleolar RNA is filed under the name Carlito syrichta (Philippine tarsier). Its description in RNAcentral is "Small Cajal body-specific RNA 2 (ENSTSYG00000032285.1)". It matches the Rfam family "Small Cajal body-specific RNA 2". The record is from Rfam by way of RNAcentral. Lineage: Eukaryota; Metazoa; Chordata; Mammalia; Primates; Tarsiidae.